RNAcentral lists this microRNA precursor (256 nucleotides) under Medicago truncatula (barrel medic). RNAcentral describes it as "miR2592k stem-loop (mtr-MIR2592k)". The record is from miRBase by way of RNAcentral. Lineage: Eukaryota; Viridiplantae; Streptophyta; Magnoliopsida; Fabales; Fabaceae.
GAGAUAAUUCAAACCUGCAAAACAACAGGACUCAAACAUUUCGCCAAACACCUCAUGUUUUCCCUUUGAAAAUAAUAAAUUUUUGUGAGGCUUGCUUUAGAUGAUGGUAUUCAAGUGCCACCGAAUUGAGGUUCAAUCCUUGACACUUAAUACCUUCAUCUAAACCAGCAUAACAAAAAUUUAAUAUUUUCAAAGGAGAAACAUGAGGUGCUUGCGAAAUGCUUGAGUCCUGUUGUUUGACAAGUUUGAAUUACCU